ACCCCACACACACACACACACACACACACACAGGCCGCACCGCACCUCGCAGAGAUUUCAAACCAGGAACAGCAAGAGCUCAGGGGGAAGCUGGCCCGACUGGGGGAGGGGGAGGUGGGGUGUUCAAAUCCAGGAGUCACCCAGAGACUUUGUCCAUAUGGGGGGUCAGCUCAUCUUUCACACUGACUGGGUACUGGCACUGAGGGUCAUGGUACAGGCACUGGCGGUAAUGGUACAGGUGCUGGGGGCAACAGUACAGGUACUGAGGGUAAUGGUACAGGCAGUGGGGAAACAGUACAGGUACUGGGGACAACGGUACAGACACUGAUGUUAAUGAUACAGGCACUGUCGGUAAUAGUACAGGCACUGGAGAAACUGUACAGGCACUGGGGGCAACAGUACAGGCACUGAGGAAACUGUACAGGCACUGGGGGCAAAAGUACAGGCACUGAUGGCAACAUUACAGGUAGUGGGGAAACAGUACAGGCAUUGGAGAAACAGUCCUGGCCCCAGGGGGGAAAGUACAGGCACUGGGAAAAACAAUACAGGCACUGGGGAAAACAGUACAGGCACUGGGGAAAACAGUACGGUGCUGGGGGCAACAGUACAGGUGCUGAGGAUAAUGGUACAGGCACUGGGGCAUCAGUACAGGCGCUGGGGGUAAUGGUACAGGCACUGGGGCAUCAGUACAGGCGCUGGGG
This is a non-coding RNA of Chiloscyllium plagiosum (whitespotted bambooshark), 701 nucleotides long. The record is from RefSeq and is a predicted model, not a curated record. NCBI's taxonomy places the organism in Eukaryota, Metazoa, Chordata, Chondrichthyes, Orectolobiformes, Hemiscylliidae.